CAGUCGAACGCUUCAGCAAUGAAGAGUGGCAGACGGGUGAGUAACGCGUGGGAACCUUCCCAGUGGUACGGAAUAGCCCAGGGAAACUUGGGGUAAUACCGUAUAAGCCCUUAGGGGGAAAGAUUUAUCGCCAUUGGAUGGGCCCGCGUCGGAUUAGCUUGUUGGUGAGGUAAAAGCUCACCAAGGCGACGAUCCGUAGCUGGUCUGAGAGGAUGAUCAGCCACACUGGGACUGAGACACGGCCCAGACUCCUACGGGAGGCAGCAGUGGGGAAUAUUGGACAAUGGGCGCAAGCCUGAUCCAGCCAUGCCGCGUGAGUGACGAAGGCCUUAGGGUUGUAAAACUCUUUUGGCGGGGACGAUAAUGACGGUACCCGCAGAAUAAGCUCCGGCUAACUUCGUGCCAGCAACCGCGGUAAUACGAAGGGAGCUAGCGUUGUUCGGAAUUACUGGGCGUAAAGCGCACGUAGGCGGACUUGUUAGUCAGGGGUGAAAUCCCGGGGCCCAACCUCGGAACUGCCUUUGAUACUGCAAGUCUGGAGUCCGGAAGAGGUGGGUGGAAUUCCUAGUGUAGAGGUGAAAUUCGUAGAUAUUAGGAAGAACACCGGUGGCGAAGGCG
This 618-nucleotide ribosomal RNA is filed under the name uncultured bacterium. RNAcentral describes it as "bacterial SSU rRNA". It matches the Rfam family "Bacterial small subunit ribosomal RNA", at positions 59 to 723 of the family's 1533-position model. The record is from RNAcentral.